This 1313-nucleotide ribosomal RNA is filed under the name uncultured Nitrospirota bacterium. Its description in RNAcentral is "bacterial SSU rRNA". It matches the Rfam family "Bacterial small subunit ribosomal RNA", at positions 83 to 1398 of the family's 1533-position model. The record is from RNAcentral. Lineage: Bacteria; Pseudomonadati; Nitrospirota.
CUUUACGGGGUAGUGGCGGACGGGUGAGUAACACGUAGGUAACCUACCCUUAAGAGGGGGACAACUCAGGGAAACUUGAGCUAAUACCCCAUAAGACCACGAACUGAGAUAUUAGUGGUAAAAGUCCUGAUGAAAAUCGGGGCACUUAAGGAUGGGCCUGUGGCCUAUCAGGUAGUUGGUGAGGUAAUGGCUCACCAAGCCUAAGACGGGUAGCCGGGCUGAGAGGUCGGACGGCCACACUGGAACUGAGAGACGGUCCAGACUCCUACGGGAGGCAGCAGUGGGGAAUAUUGCGCAAUGGGGGAAACCCUGACGCAGCGACGCCGCGUGGAGGAUGAAGGCCUUCGGGUUGUAAACUCCUUUUCUCAGGGAAAAUGGUGAUGGUACCUGAGGAAUAAGCCACGGCUAACUCUGUGCCAGCAGCCGCGGUAAGACAGAGGUGGCAAGCGUUGUUCGGAAUUACUGGGCUUAUAGGGCGAGUAGGCGGUGAGGUAAGUCUGAGGUGGAAUCCUAUGGCUUAACUAUAGAAUUGCCUCAGAAACUGUUUCACUUGAGUCAGUGAGGGGAGGGCGGAAUUCCUGGUGUAGCGGUGAAAUGCGUAGAUAUCAGGAGGAAGGCCUGUGGCGAAGGCGGCCCUCUGGCACUGAACUGACGCUGAGGCGCGAAAGCGUGGGUAGCAAACAGGAUUAGAUACCCUGGUAGUCCACGCCCUAAACGGUGGGCAUUAGGUGUAGGGCUCGUAAGGGUUCUGUGCCGAAGGGAAACCAUUAAAUGCCCCGCCUGGGGAGUACGGCCGCAAGGUUGAAACUCAAAGGAAUUGACGGGGGCCCGCACAAGCGGUGGAGCAUGUGGUUUAAUUCGACGCUACGCGAAGAACCUUACCUGGGUUUGACAUGUUAGUAGUAAGAACCCGAAAAGGGGAUGAUCCGCCGAAAGGCGGAAGCUAACACAGGUGCUGCAUGGCUGUCGUCAGCUCGUGCCGUGAGGUGUUGGGUUAAGUCCCGCAACGAGCGCAACCCUUAUUCUCUGUUGCCCCGUAUCAAGUACGGGGCUCUCUGAGGAAACUGCCGGCGAUGAGCUGGAGGAAGGCGGGGAUGACGUCAAGUCAGCAUGGCCCUUAUGUCCAGGGCGACACACGUGCUACAAUGGCUGCUACAGAGGGAUGCAAUACCGCGAGGUGGAGCUAAUCCCUAAAAGCAGUCUCAGUUGGGAUCGGAGUCUGCAACUCGACUCCGUGAACGCGGAAUCGCUAGUAAUCGUGGAUCAGCCAUGCCACGGUGAUACGUUCCCGGGCCUUGUACACACCGCCCGUC